This is a ribosomal RNA of Oncorhynchus kisutch (coho salmon), 122 nucleotides long. The record is from Ensembl. NCBI's taxonomy places the organism in Eukaryota, Metazoa, Chordata, Actinopteri, Salmoniformes, Salmonidae.
GCUUACGAACCACACCGGCCUGAGUACUCCUGAUCUCGUCUGAUCUCGGAAGCUAAGCAGGGUCGGGCCUGGCUUAGUACUUGGAUGGGAGACCUGCCUGGGAAUACCAGGUGCUGUAAGCU